This 497-nucleotide ribosomal RNA is filed under the name uncultured bacterium. RNAcentral describes it as "partial 16S ribosomal RNA". It matches the Rfam family "Bacterial small subunit ribosomal RNA", at positions 28 to 507 of the family's 1533-position model. The record is from RNAcentral.
GAUGAACGCUGGCGGCGUGCCUAAUACAUGCAAGUCGAGCGAACAGAUGAGGAGCUUGCUCCUCUGACGUUAGCGGCGGACGGGUGAGUAACACGUGGAUAACCUACCUAUAAGACUGGGAUAACUUCGGGAAACCGGAGCUAAUACCGGAUAAUAUAUUGAACCGCAUGGUUCAAUAGUGAAAGACGGUUUUGCUGUCACUUAUAGAUGGAUCCGCGCCGCAUUAGCUAGUUGGUAAGGUAACGGCUUACCAAGGCCACGAUGCGUAGCCGACCUGAGAGGGUGAUCGGCCACACUGGAACUGAGACACGGUCCAGACUCCUACGGGAGGCAGCAGUAGGGAAUCUUCCGCAAUGGGCGAAAGCCUGACGGAGCCACGCCGCGUGGGUGAAGAAGGUCUUCGGAUCGUAAAACCCUGUUAUUAGGGAAGAACAAAUGUGUAAGUAACUAUGCACGUCUUGACGGUACCUAAUCAGAAAGCCACGGCUAACUACGUG